Molecule: non-coding RNA, 70 nt
Organism: Podarcis lilfordi (Lilford's wall lizard)
Lineage: Eukaryota; Metazoa; Chordata; Lepidosauria; Squamata; Lacertidae
Source: the annotation of a GenBank genome assembly
GCUGUAGCUCAGUGGUAGAGAAUCUGCUUUGCCUGCAGAAGGUUCCCAGGAUCAAUCUUUGGCAUCUCCA